Long non-coding RNA from Homarus americanus (American lobster), 923 nucleotides. RefSeq lists it as uncharacterized. Lineage: Eukaryota; Metazoa; Arthropoda; Malacostraca; Decapoda; Nephropidae. The transcript has 4 exons. The record is from RefSeq and is a predicted model, not a curated record.
GUCAGAGACAGCGGGUGAGGAGGUCGCCAGCAGUGUGGUGGUAGUGACGGUGUAGCGCCGGUGGGGUGUCCAAAAUUUCAGUUAAAGAUAAUCAAUAUAAACCUUACUGUGAACUGUUGAACAUCACAGGUGAACUAAGAGAGUCAUCAGUGAACACCUGAGUGGUUAACAAUCUACCUGGUUCAACACUGGCUGAUUACCUACAGUAAACUAGAUGAUGUCACUGUCAAGAUGGUGAAGGACCAGCGGCAGGCUUGGUGACCAUGACGGUACUUCCUUGGUGACCUGGGAAUAUCUUGAUGACCUUUGGGAACAGCCUAGUGACCUCCUGGGAACAUCCUGGUGACCUCCUGGGAACAUCCUGGUGACCUCCUGGGAACAUCCUGGUGACCUCCUGGGAACAUCCUGGUCACCUCCUGGAAACUUCCUGGUGACCUCCUGGAAACUUCCUGGUGACCUCCUGGGAACAUCCUGGGAACAUCUUGGUGAACUCUGGGAACAUCCUGGUGACCUUCUGGGAAUAUCCUGGUGACCUCCUGGGAACAUCCUGGUGACCUCUGGGAACAUCCUGGUGACCUCCUACGAACAUCCUGGUGACCUCCUGGGAACAUCCUGGUGACUUCUGGGAACAUCCAGGUGACCUCCUGGGAACAUCCUGGUGACCUCCUGGGAACAUCCUGGUGACCUCCUGGGAACAUUCUGGUGACCUCUGGAAACAUCCUGGUGACCUCCUGGGAACAUCCUGGUGACCUCCCGGUGACCAGCUGAGGCCAGAUGACCAGACUCCUCCACCUAGUGUUACUCCGCCUCCUGUUAGCCUGGCGAGAGGCUCAGGCACUGCCCUACCAGUGUUCCCGAGUCUACUGCGCCACCACCACUACACUGGUGGGCCCGGCUGAGGACCUGACUGUGUACCCAGCCCC